This 253-nucleotide unclassified non-coding RNA is filed under the name uncultured fungus. Its description in RNAcentral is "sequence contains ITS2". The record is from RNAcentral. Lineage: Eukaryota; Fungi.
AACGCACAUUGCGCCUUUUGGUAUUCCGAAAGGCACGUCCGUUUGAGCGUCAGUUAACCUCUCAUGGAGUAAUUCAUGGUAUUGGGGCCCCCGUUACGGGGGCCUCUAAAACUGACGGGCAGAAGCCCCGGCUAGACAUAAUAAAAUUUAUACUGUUAAAGUCGGUAAGCGGAAGCCCCAAGAAAAAGAAAGUGCCCCGGCACGUUUUUUUACUCUUGACCUCAAAUCGGAUGAGGAUACCCGCUGAACUUAA